GAUGAACGCUGGCGGCGUGCCUAAUACAUGCAAGUCGAGCGAACAGACGAGGAGCUUGCUCCUCUGACGUUAGCGGCGGACGGGUGAGUAACACGUGGAUAACCUACCUAUAAGACUGGGAUAACUUCGGGAAACCGUAGCUAAUACCGGAUAAUAUAUUGAACCGCAUGGUUCAAUAGUGAAAGACGGUUUUGCUGUCACUUAUAGAUGGAUCCGCGCCGCAUUAGCUAGUUGGUAAGGUAACGGCUUACCAAGGCAACGAUGCGUAGCCGACCUGAGAGGGUGAUCAGCCACACUGGAACUGAGACACGGUCCAGACUCCUACGGGAGGCAGCAGUAGGGAAUCUUCCGCAAUGGGCGAAAGCCUGACCGAGCAACGCCGCGUGAGUGAUGAAGGUCUUCGGAUCGUAAAACUCUGUUAUUAGGGAAGAACAAAUGUGUAAGUAACUAUGCACGUCUUGACGGUACCUAAUCAGAAAGCAACGGCUAACUACGUG
Molecule: ribosomal RNA, 497 nt
Filed under: uncultured bacterium
Lineage: Bacteria
Description: partial 16S ribosomal RNA
Rfam family: Bacterial small subunit ribosomal RNA
Source: RNAcentral